RNAcentral lists this ribosomal RNA (253 nucleotides) under uncultured bacterium. RNAcentral describes it as "partial 16S ribosomal RNA". It matches the Rfam family "Bacterial small subunit ribosomal RNA", at positions 524 to 776 of the family's 1533-position model. The record is from RNAcentral.
UACGGAGGGUGCGAGCGUUGUUCGGAAUUACUGGGCGUAAAGCGCACGUAGGCGGGUUGUUAAGUCAGGGGUGAAAUCCUGGAGCUCAACUCCAGAACUGCCUUUGAUACUGGCAACCUAGAGACUGGAAGAGGUUAGUGGAAUUCCCAGUGUAGAGGUGAAAUUCGUAGAUAUUGGGAAGAACACCAGUGGCGAAGGCGGCUAACUGGUCCAGCACUGACGCUGAGGUGCGAAAGCGUGGGGAGCAAACAGG